UACGUAGGGGGGCAAGCGUUGUCCGGAAUCAUUGGGCGUAAAGAGCGUGUAGGCGGCUCGAUAAGUCUGCUGUGAAAGUCCAGGGCUCAACCCUGGAAGGCCGGUGGAAACUGUCGGGCUAGAGUCCGGAAGAGGCGAGUGGAAUUCCCGGUGUAGCGGUGAAAUGCGCAGAUAUCGGGAGGAACACCAAUGGCGAAGGCAGCUCGCUGGGACGGUACUGACGCUGAGACGCGAAAGCGUGGGGAGCAAACAGGG
Molecule: ribosomal RNA, 255 nt
Filed under: uncultured bacterium
Lineage: Bacteria
Description: partial 16S ribosomal RNA
Rfam family: Bacterial small subunit ribosomal RNA
Source: RNAcentral